This is a long non-coding RNA of Myotis myotis, 951 nucleotides long. RefSeq lists it as uncharacterized. The transcript is spliced from 3 exons. The record is from RefSeq and is a predicted model, not a curated record. Lineage: Eukaryota; Metazoa; Chordata; Mammalia; Chiroptera; Vespertilionidae.
CCAUUUAGAGACCCAAUUUUCCACUUCUCUGGACCUUUUGAAGUGCUGUUCAGAAAGUGCGUGUGCCAUGGAUCAGAACAAGUGGUAAUAUGAAGGAGCAAGGUCUGGUGAAUACAGCAGGACGUGGCUGCUCACGCGAGGGGCCAAGAUGCACUCUAAGGCUUGUUAGCAGUGAUGGGGUGGCCUGGACUUCAGAUUCUUGAUGGGCCUCUAGAUGUGAAGAUGGAACCUGGAAUUAUUCUUCAGGAAGCUGCUCCUUCCCAACUGGAGAGGGCAGGAGUGCUGCUGGGCACCAGGACAUGCUCCGUGAGACUGGAGGCUGCAACCAUGGGAACUGGGCCAUGUAGAGCAAGACGUAAAUCCUUGAAAUCAUUUCAAUGGAACAUAAAUAUGGAUUUAACAUGAGGGCCACAGUUUUGGGGUGGUUGGUUCUAACUCUGGCAAUCGGGAUUUAGAGGGGAAAUUCUCCAGUGUUAAUGGCCUGCAGAUGUUCUUUGGGCUCCAGUGGAUAAAUUUUCACCACUAAUGGUUAAUUGUUUUGUCAGCAGCAGAGUUUUGUUGUAGUAUCUCCAAAUGGUUGGUAUUGGCCAUGAGUCAUCAAACAACCCCCAAAUGAGAGCCUAAUCUUGGGGUCACUUUAAGUGUCCCAUCAUACUCCGUUUAAUCAAUAAUUGCCUCACAGUGUGACAGUCAGAAUUUUCCCAUUGUCUGACAAUGGACAACCUGAUGACAAGCAGUCACUGAACUCACAUACGACUGUGAUGUCUGAUUUUAACCAUGGCUGGUGUCCUGGCCAAUGUCUAGGAGAAGGAAACAGGAUAUCAGAUAAUAGUCAUCAUGGGUGAAUCAGAGGCAAAAGAUUUAUUGCAAAUUGCAAUGAACUACUUCAUUAUAAAAUUUAGAUUAAACACUCCUCUCACAUCAUAGACAUUACUACAGAUUCUAAAUAUA